This 486-nucleotide ribosomal RNA is filed under the name uncultured cyanobacterium. RNAcentral describes it as "bacterial SSU rRNA". It matches the Rfam family "Bacterial small subunit ribosomal RNA", at positions 1047 to 1533 of the family's 1533-position model. Lineage: Bacteria; Bacillati; Cyanobacteriota. The record is from RNAcentral.
GGCUGUCGUCAGCUCGUGUCGUGAGAUGUUGAGUUAAGUCCCGCAACGAGCGCAACCCACGUCUUUAGUUGCCAGCAUUCAGUUGGGCACUCUAGAGAGACCGCCGGUGAUAAACCGGAGGAAGGUGUGGAUGACGUCAAGUCAUCAUGCCCCUUACAUCCUGGGCUACACACGUACUACAAUGCUACGGACAAGGGGCAGCAAACUCGCGAGAGCUAGCAAAUCCCAUAAACCGUGGCUCAGUUCAGAUCGUAGGCUGCAACUCGCCUACGUGAAGGAGGAAUCGCUAGUAAUCGCAGGUCAGCAUACUGCGGUGAAUACGUUCCCGGGCCUUGUACACACCGCCCGUCACACCAUGGAAGUUGGCCACGCCCGAAGUCGUUACUCCAACCCUUGUGGAGGAGGAUGCCGAAGGUGGGGCUGAUGACUGGGGUGAAGUCGUAACAAGGUAGCCGUACCGGAAGGUGCGGCUGGAUCACCUCCUAA